UACGGAGGGCGCUAGCGUUGUUCGGAAUUACUGGGCGUAAAGCGCACGUAGGCGGCUUUGUAAGUUAGAGGUGAAAGCCCGGGGCUCAACCCCGGAAUUGCCUUUAAGACUGCAUCGCUUGAAUCCAGGAGAGGUGAGUGGAAUUCCGAGUGUAGAGGUGAAAUUCGUAGAUAUUCGGAAGAACACCAGUGGCGAAGGCGGCUCACUGGACUGGUAUUGACGCUGAGGUGCGAAAGCGUGGGGAGCAAACGGG
This 253-nucleotide ribosomal RNA is filed under the name uncultured bacterium. RNAcentral describes it as "partial 16S ribosomal RNA". It matches the Rfam family "Bacterial small subunit ribosomal RNA", at positions 524 to 776 of the family's 1533-position model. The record is from RNAcentral.